GGCUAGACUGAAUGCAGUGGUGUUUACAACUAAUUGAUCAUAACCAGUUACAGAUUCCUUCUCCACUCCCACUGCUUCACUUGACUAAUCCUAA
Molecule: Y RNA, 94 nt
Filed under: Carlito syrichta (Philippine tarsier)
Lineage: Eukaryota; Metazoa; Chordata; Mammalia; Primates; Tarsiidae
Description: Y RNA (ENSTSYG00000021126.2)
Rfam family: Y RNA
About the family: Y RNAs are components of the Ro ribonucleoprotein particle (Ro RNP), in association with Ro60 and La proteins. The Y RNAs and Ro60 and La proteins are well conserved, but the function of the Ro RNP is not known.
Source: Rfam by way of RNAcentral